This 253-nucleotide ribosomal RNA is filed under the name uncultured bacterium. Its description in RNAcentral is "partial 16S ribosomal RNA". It matches the Rfam family "Bacterial small subunit ribosomal RNA", at positions 524 to 776 of the family's 1533-position model. The record is from RNAcentral.
UACGUAGGGGGCAAGCGUUGUCCGGAUUUAUUGGGCGUAAAGAGCGUGUAGGCGGCCAGGUAGGUCUGCUGUGAAAACUCGAGGCUUAACCUCGAGAUGUCGGCGGAAACCAUCUGGCUAGAGUCCGGAAGAGGAGAAUGGAAUUCCCGGUGUAGCGGUGAAAUGCGCAGAUAUCAGGAAGAACACCCGUGGCGAAGGCGGCUCUCUGGGACGGUACUGACGCUGAGACGCGAAAGCGUGGGGAGCGAACAGG